UCUUAAAAUUUUGAGGCUAAAAGAAGCUUGAACCUCUGUUUUUCUCGCGUCCCCAGCUUGCUACAGUAGCGGUGCGAUUUUCUGCAUAGGGCGUGAUCUGCUACUUGCUUGCCCACGAGAUUUAUGUUGCACGUGCAUAUCAUGUGCUGACACGUCAUAAAAAAAAGAAACAAAUGGCUUUGAAAGAAAAGCUAGGCACGCAGACUUGGGAGAAAUAUAACACAUGAUUUGUCCUCUUUCAACUACUCCUAUAUAAA
RNAcentral lists this long non-coding RNA (257 nucleotides) under Trifolium pratense (red clover). RNAcentral describes it as "long non-coding RNA (TPRA_LNC007855)". The record is from RNAcentral. Lineage: Eukaryota; Viridiplantae; Streptophyta; Magnoliopsida; Fabales; Fabaceae.